CGGCGGCGUCAUGGCUGGCCGGUUGAAUCGACCUCGGCCGCCUCUUGUCUCUGGAUCCCCUCCGUAGACAACCUCCUGCUUUGUCGCCGGUACCCCUCCGCUACCAAAGCCUCCACUACCAAAGCCCAACACUGCGCGCAGCCGAGGCAUGCCCUCCUGGGUUGGGGUCGAACGUAGUCAAUUGAAAUUGGACGGGCGUCCUGCCGUGGCUGCCCCCAACGCCUAUGAACUGGGCACCUAUCCCCUUGCAAUUUUACGUCAGCUUGCAGAUUGGGCACUGGCUAAAUGUUAAUUUCAUUGCCGGUGGUUUGUAAUCCCGACGGCUUCAGGUGAGCGGCAAGUGGUCCCGAUCCCUGUCGCCCUGAGUCUGGCCUCCGUGGUGGGUUGCGGCCGGCGCUACCGGUUCCACCUGCGUGCUGCAUGUGUUCUACAUCGGCGAAGAAAUGCUGUCCCUGUCAG
This is a long non-coding RNA of Lolium rigidum, 459 nucleotides long. RefSeq lists it as uncharacterized. The transcript is spliced from 3 exons. The record is from RefSeq and is a predicted model, not a curated record. Lineage: Eukaryota; Viridiplantae; Streptophyta; Magnoliopsida; Poales; Poaceae.